Molecule: ribosomal RNA, 254 nt
Filed under: uncultured bacterium
Lineage: Bacteria
Description: partial 16S ribosomal RNA
Rfam family: Bacterial small subunit ribosomal RNA
Source: RNAcentral
CACGUAGGGAGCAAGCGUUGUCCGGAUUUAUUGGGCGUAAAGAGCUCGUAGGCGGUUCGAUAAGUCAGGUGUGAAAACUCUGGGCUCAACUCAGAGACGGCACUUGAUACUGUCGUGACUUGAGUCUGGUAGGGGAGUGUGGAAUUCCCGGUGUAGCGGUGAAAUGCGCAGAUAUCGGGAGGAACACCAGUGGCGAAGGCGGCACUCUGGGCCAGUACUGACGCUGAGGAGCGAAAGCGUGGGGAGCGAACAGG